Non-coding RNA from Manis javanica (Malayan pangolin), 360 nucleotides. The record is from RefSeq and is a predicted model, not a curated record. Lineage: Eukaryota; Metazoa; Chordata; Mammalia; Pholidota; Manidae.
CCAUCUCACUCAACUAGCCUAACUUUGGAUCCAACUUAGAUCAGAAGAAAAACUACAGAGAACAGAGCUUACUACCCCAGCUGCAUGCACCCCCUCUGGCUUCCCAAGGGCUGCUGUGUGCCUGUUGUGAAGGGCCCGAUGUGCAUGGUGAAGCAACUAAAGCCGGGCAGAUAACCCCGUGGCCAAAUCACUGCCUGCAAGCGCUGGCGAGGAGAGCGUUGCCUCCGCGUCCGUGUGACUGUGGCGUGGAAGGCGGCCUGGCGGCACCACCACGUGAUGGUUAAUACGCUCACCUCUCGAGGUGCCUCUCCGACCCCCCACGGCGCUGUGGAGGAGAGCCACCCCACCCUCGCCCAGCAG